RNAcentral lists this ribosomal RNA (466 nucleotides) under uncultured bacterium. RNAcentral's name for it is "partial 16S ribosomal RNA". It matches the Rfam family "Bacterial small subunit ribosomal RNA", at positions 28 to 505 of the family's 1533-position model. The record is from RNAcentral.
GACGAACGCUGGCGGCGUGCUUAACACAUGCAAGUCGAACGGAAAGGCCCUGCUUUUGUGGGGUGCUCGAGUGGCGAACGGGUGAGUAACACGUGAGUAACCUGCCCUUGACUUUGGGAUAACUUCAGGAAACUGGGGCUAAUACCGGAUAGGAGCUCCUGCUGCAUGGUGGGGGUUGGAAAGUUUCGGCGGUUGGGGAUGGACUCGCGGCUUAUCAGCUUGUUGGUGGGGUAGUGGCUUACCAAGGCUUUGACGGGUAGCCGGCCUGAGAGGGUGACCGGCCACAUUGGGACGGAGAUACGGCCCAGACUCCUACGGGAGGCAGCAGUGGGGAAUAUUGCACAAUGGGCGGAAGCCUGAUGCAGCAACGCCGCGUGCGGGAUGACGGCCUUCGGGUUGUAAACCGCUUUCGCCUGUGACGAAGCGUGAGUGACGGUAAUGGGUAAAGAAGCACCGGCUAACUACG